Molecule: long non-coding RNA, 345 nt
Filed under: Canis lupus familiaris (dog)
Lineage: Eukaryota; Metazoa; Chordata; Mammalia; Carnivora; Canidae
Description: lncRNA (ENSCAFG00040011838.1)
Source: RNAcentral
UUUUCUGGGCUGUAAACGUGCUGCAUAAACACGCCGUGCAAUGGAUUGUGGACUCCGUGGAAAGAGCCCUCUUCCAGCAGGCUGGGAACACGUCACCGAUGGGUCCAUGACCUGCCGGGAUGUGAAGUAAUGCGUGUGUGUGAGCCUAUCAAUAUAUUCGCUUUGGGGUGGGAGGAGGGAGCAUUUAUCAGACUUUCUUUUUCCUUUUAUUUCCGGCAGGGUGCUGUUUUAGGGGUGUGUGUGGAGAAGCCAGAGAAUACGCAGGAAGCUUGUGUCGACUUCGUGUUCAGCCUUCACUCUUCUCCUUGGGCCAAGCUCGUGAUGACUUUGUCUCUCCCUUUCUGA